RNAcentral lists this ribosomal RNA (431 nucleotides) under uncultured bacterium. RNAcentral's name for it is "bacterial SSU rRNA". It matches the Rfam family "Bacterial small subunit ribosomal RNA", at positions 355 to 776 of the family's 1533-position model. The record is from RNAcentral.
UCGAGAAUAGUCUACAAUGGCCGGAAGGCUGAUAGUGCGACGCCGCGUGAACGAAGGAGCCCUUCGGGGUGUAAAGUUCUUUUCUAUACGAGCAGUACUAUAUAGGUGAAUAAUUUAUAUAGGGGGAUAGUAGUAUAGGAAUAAGCAACGGCUAACUCCGUGCCAGCAGCCGCGGUAACACGGGGGUUGCGAGCGUUGUCCGGAAUUACUAGGCGUAAAGGGCAGUCAGGCGGAUCUGCGAGUUUUUUGUUAAAGGCUACGGCUCAACCGUAGUAAGGCAGGAGAUACUGUAGAUCUGGAAUUUGGUAGAGGAAGACAGAAUUCCUGGUGUAGCGGUGGAAUGCGCAGAGAUCAGGAGGAAUACCGAAGGCGAAGGCAGUCUUCUGGGCCGAUAUUGACGCUUAACUGCGAAGGUGUGGGGAUCAAACAGG